AGUGAACGCUGGCGGUAGGCCUAACACAUGCAAGUCGAACGGCAGCACAGUAAGAGCUUGCUCUUACGGGUGGCGAGUGGCGGACGGGUGAGGAAUACAUCGGAAUCUACUUUUUCGUGGGGGAUAACGUAGGGAAACUUACGCUAAUACCGCAUACGACCUACGGGUGAAAGCAGGGGAUCUUCGGACCUUGCGCGAUUGAAUGAGCCGAUGUCGGAUUAGCUAGUUGGCGGGGUAAAGGCCCACCAAGGCGACGAUCCGUAGCUGGGCUGAGAGGAUGGAGCGGCAGACUGGAAAUGAGAAGCGGGCCCGGGUCCUAGGGGGGGCAGGGGGGGGGAAGGUUGGAAAAAGGGGGGAAGCCUGAACCAGCCAUGGCGGGGGGGGGAAGAAGGCCCUCGGGUGUGAAAGCCCUUUUGGUGGGAAAGAAAAGGAGCAGGUUAAAACCCCGGUGGUUUGGGGGUACCCAAAGAAAAAGAACCGGGUAACUUCGG
Molecule: ribosomal RNA, 491 nt
Filed under: uncultured bacterium
Lineage: Bacteria
Description: partial 16S ribosomal RNA
Rfam family: Bacterial small subunit ribosomal RNA
Source: RNAcentral